AUUGAACGCUGGCGGCAUGCCUUACACAUGCAAGUCGAACGGCAGCACGGGAGCAAUCCUGGUGGCGAGUGGCGAACGGGUGAGUAAUGUAUCGGAACGUGCCCAGUCGUGGGGGAUAACGUAGCGAAAGCUACGCUAAUACCGCAUACGAUCUGUGGAUGAAAGCGGGGGACCGUAAGGCCUCGCGCGAUUGGAGCGGCCGAUAUCAGAUUAGGUAGUUGGUGGGGUGAAGGCCUACCAAGCCGACGAUCUGUAGCUGGUCUGAGAGGACGACCAGCCACACUGGGACUGAGACACGGCCCAGACUCCUACGGGAGGCAGCAGUGGGGAAUUUUGGACAAUGGGCGCAAGCCUGAUUCAGCAAUGCCGCGUGCAGGAUGAAGGCCUUCGGGUUGUAAACUGCUUUUGUACGGAGCGAAAAGCCCCGGGUUAAUACCCUGGGGUCAUGACGGUACCGUAAGAAUAAGCACCGGCUAACUACGUGCCAGCAGCCGCCGUAA
This 500-nucleotide ribosomal RNA is filed under the name uncultured bacterium. Its description in RNAcentral is "partial 16S ribosomal RNA". It matches the Rfam family "Bacterial small subunit ribosomal RNA", at positions 30 to 523 of the family's 1533-position model. The record is from RNAcentral.